ACGAACGCUGGCGGCAGGCCUAACACAUGCAAGUCGAGCGGACCCUUCGGGGUUAGCGGCGGACGGGUGAGUCACGCGUGGGAAUAUGCCCUUCUCUACGGAAUAGUCCUGGGAAACUGGGGGUAAUACCGUAUACGCCCUUUGGGGGAAAGAUUUAUCGGGGAAGGAUUAGCCCGCGUUGGAUUAGGUAGUUGGUGGGGUAAUGGCCUACCAAGCCGACGAUCCAUAGCUGGUUUGAGAGGAUGAUCAGCCACACUGGGACUGAGACACGGCCCAGACUCCUACGGGAGGCAGCAGUGGGGAAUCUUAGACAAUGGGGGCAACCCUGAUCUAGCCAUGCCGCGUGAGUGAUGAAGGCCUUAGGGUUGUAAAGCUCUUUCAGCUGGGAAGAUAAUGACGGUACCAGCAGAAGAAGCCCCGGCUAACUCCGUG
RNAcentral lists this ribosomal RNA (432 nucleotides) under uncultured bacterium. RNAcentral describes it as "partial 16S ribosomal RNA". It matches the Rfam family "Bacterial small subunit ribosomal RNA", at positions 29 to 507 of the family's 1533-position model. The record is from RNAcentral.